GCUUGUCUCAAAGAUUAAGCCAUGCACGUCUAAGUAUAAGCGAUUAUACUGUGAAACUGCGAAUGGCUCAUUAUAUCAGUUAUAGUUUAUUUGAUGGUCCUUGCUACUUGGAUAACCGUAGUAAUUCUAGAGCUAAUACAUGCAUAAAUCCCCGACUGCUUGGAAGGGGUGUAUUUAUUAGAUGGAAACCAAACGGCUUCGGCCGUCUCAUUGGUGACUCUGAAUAACUUUGGGCUGAUCGUAUGGCCUUGUGCCGACGACGUUUCCUUCGAAGGUGUGCCCUAUCAACUGUCGACUGUGAUAUAGACGCUCACAGUGGUUUUGACGGGUAACGGGGAAUCAGGGUUCGAUUCCGGAGAGGGAGCCUUAAAAACGGCUACCACAUCCAAGGAAGGCAGCAGG
Molecule: ribosomal RNA, 402 nt
Filed under: uncultured fungus
Lineage: Eukaryota; Fungi
Description: partial small subunit ribosomal RNA
Rfam family: Eukaryotic small subunit ribosomal RNA
Source: RNAcentral